GGGCCCUUGCCCGGCAUGUUGGGGAGACACCCAGAACCCAAGCACCUGAGACAGGACCCCAGCAGCUCCACCAUGGACUUGGUGCCAAGCUGCGUUUUCCUCCUGAUCAUUUCUCAAGGUGUCCAGUGUGAGGUGCAGCUGGUGGAGUCUGGGGGAGGCCUGGUGCAGCCUGGGGGGUCUCUGAGACUCUCCUUUGCAGCCUCUGGAUUCACCUUCAGUAGCUAUGGGAUGAACUGGGUCCGCCAGGCUCCAGGGAAGGGUCUGGAGUGGGUCUCAUACAUUAAUAGUGGUGGUGGUAGCACAUACUAUGCCAACUCUGUGAAGGGCCGCUUCACCAUCUCCAGAGUCAAUGCCAAGAACAAGCUGUACCUGCAAAUGAGCAGCCGGAGAGCUGAGGACACGGCCGCGUAUUACUGUGCAAGAGACACAGUGAGGUUUUGCCUUAAAUGCAGCCCCAUGUCAUCCCCUCAUGCCCAUCUCCUGUGCCAGGCCUUCCUGAGACACCAGAGCCAGGGCUACUGA
Non-coding RNA from Myotis brandtii (Brandt's bat), 522 nucleotides. The record is from the annotation of a RefSeq genome assembly. NCBI's taxonomy places the organism in Eukaryota, Metazoa, Chordata, Mammalia, Chiroptera, Vespertilionidae.